Molecule: long non-coding RNA, 255 nt
Filed under: Lupinus angustifolius (narrow-leaved blue lupine)
Lineage: Eukaryota; Viridiplantae; Streptophyta; Magnoliopsida; Fabales; Fabaceae
Description: long non-coding RNA (LANG_LNC002441)
Source: RNAcentral
CAUAUAAUAAUCUAGACGGCAUGUCUCAUGUAAAUGAAAUGAUAGUUUUUAGAACUAAUGAUAUUUGCAUCUAGGUUUACCUAACCUAGACUCAAUAACUAAGACACAUAUCUAAUACACUAGUUUAGACAUGAAGCUCUUGAGUCUUUGGCAUGUUGAUUAGUUGAGUUAUCUUUAAGCUUUCACUAAUUCCGUUGUCUUCAUCAAAACAUAGGUAAGCUAAUAGUGCUAUCUUGACACUUUGCACUUUCACUA